RNAcentral lists this transfer RNA (65 nucleotides) under Plagusia squamosa. RNAcentral describes it as "tRNA-Cys". Lineage: Eukaryota; Metazoa; Arthropoda; Malacostraca; Decapoda; Plagusiidae. The record is from RNAcentral.
AAGCUUUGUAGUAUAAAGAUAACGUUAAAUUGCAAGUUUAAAGAUGUGAAAUUCACUAAGGCUUU